Long non-coding RNA from Ctenopharyngodon idella (grass carp), 1719 nucleotides. RefSeq lists it as uncharacterized. The record is from RefSeq and is a predicted model, not a curated record. The transcript has 7 exons. NCBI's taxonomy places the organism in Eukaryota, Metazoa, Chordata, Actinopteri, Cypriniformes, Xenocyprididae.
GAUGACAUCAUUUUCAUUUUUGGGUGAACUAUCCCUUUAAUGUUGUGUAAACAGAACCUUUGAAGACUCACACCUGUAAGUAAAUGCGGUUGUCAUUUUUAAACUGACAGUGUGAAUAGCCCUGACAUGGGGCAAGUUGUCACAAAGUUAAGGUUUUGGAACUAAGAUUCAGUUACAUUUCCCCUAGCAUUGGUUCAAAAACUCUUGUGUUAUGUUAUCCUUUGAACCAGUAUUAUUUUAGUAGGCUUAUUUUUAUAUGUAUUUUUUUUAUAUUUUUCAUUUUAAUUUUACCUUAAGUUUUAGUAAUUUUGUUAUGUGCUUUUGUCAUUUCUAUUAGUGUUUUGUAAACAUUUCUUAGUAUAUUUUCAUUUAUUUUUAUUUUAGUUUUAGCAAUUUUAGUACUUUAAAGGGGUGAUAUAAUGCCACUUCUACAAGAUGUAAAAUAAGUCUCUGAUGUAUCCAGAGUGUGUAUGUGAAGUUUUAGCUCAAAAUACCCCACAGAUAAUUUUUUAUAGCAUGUUAAAUUUGUCACUUUUUGAGGGUGAGCAAAAACGCUCCGUUUGUGUGUGUGUCCCUUUAAAUGCAAAUGAGCUGCUGCUUCCAAAAAGAGGGCGGAGUUUCAAGAGCUCGUGUUAGCAGCGCCGAUUACCUCUCACAGACUCACUGAAAAUGUCAGAAACUGUUUCAAUCCGGAGUCGAACAAUGAUGGAGAGACUCAAGAAGAAGUGACAACAUGUAGAAUGCAACAGGGCAUUUCUGAACGAAUGAUCAGUUGGAAAUCAAUCCUUCAUACGCAAGCGAUGUCAUUCCUGUCCAACAAUUGGCAUGCAAUUGAUAGCCUAGUUCAUUCUCUGACUAUUGAUUACUCAUCGAAAGUCAUUCUUCUGGAUAAUGGGACCGGUUACCCCUGAAGAUAUUACAAGCUCCAAAAUGAAUCACAUCCAUUUCUCACCGUGCACAAGAUGACAGGAGUGAGACUCAGUUUGAGGGCCGAGACUCUCCGCAAUCAUUCGCAACGUGGAAGAGAAGGAUCACAGAGCGAUGUCCACUCCUGUGACCCAUAGUUAAAGAAAGAGCCUCCCUAUUGAUAUGAGAGAUAUUACAAGCGUCUUAAAGGGAAGAGUCAUUUGGUUGUUAUGCAUCAUCACAUAAGAGCUUAAAAUGGAAGCUGAGGCUGUGCCACACUACGUAAAGAUUCCCCACGGUUUUCAUAUGGAGGUUCCUGAAGUGUGUCGAAUGGACAUUGGGGUGAUCACGCUGAUGAGCUUCUGAAAGAAGAACAUUUCUAUAGACUCUGGAUCGGUACUUCCGCCUACGUCACGUGUGACUUCCAACGUGAUUACGCAAUGCAUGGCGCAUCGCACGACUUGGAUGACGUGGGGAUUUGCUCAGAAGAGAAACGAAGCAUAUGACGGCAAGAGAGAAAUCUUUCCCUACAAUGCAUUGCCCGGAACUAUCUACACUAACAAUGACACAGCAUCUAUUGACUUUUUUUAUCUCAAGGCCAGAGAGUUCUGACAUAUGUCUGCAAUUUUGUUUUCGUAAGUAAUUUUCCAACCAGUGUUGCCCAGAGGUCUGCAAGGUGACCUCAUUUUCUGAAGAGAAAAAUUCUCCACAUCUGAGGCAGCGCGUUUUGCCUUUCCUCCACUCGAUGUGGUGUUGUAGUCCUAGAACACAGCUGUUGUAAAUUUGAAAUAAAAAUAUUUUCUUAUGAUGUUU